This 1370-nucleotide ribosomal RNA is filed under the name uncultured bacterium. RNAcentral's name for it is "bacterial SSU rRNA". It matches the Rfam family "Bacterial small subunit ribosomal RNA". The record is from RNAcentral.
AGAGUUUGAUCCUGGCUCAGGACGAACGCUGGCGGCGCGCCUAACACAUGCAAGUCGAACGAGCGAGAGAGAGCUUGCUUUCUCGAGCGAGUGGCGAACGGGUGAGUAACGCGUGAGGAACCUGCCUCAAAGAGGGGGACAACAGUUGGAAACGACUGCUAAUACCGCAUAAGCCCACGGCUCGGCAUCGAGCAGAGGGAAAAGGAGCAAUCCGCUUUGAGAUGGCCUCGCGUCCGAUUAGCUAGUUGGUGAGGUAACGGCCCACCAAGGCGACGAUCGGUAGCCGGACUGAGAGGUUGAACGGCCACAUUGGGACUGAGACACGGCCCAGACUCCUACGGGAGGCAGCAGUGGGGAAUAUUGCACAAUGGGGGAAACCCUGAUGCAGCGACGCCGCGUGGAGGAAGAAGGUCUUCGGAUUGUAAACUCCUGUUGUUGAGGAAGAUAAUGACGGUACUCAACAAGGAAGUGACGGCUAACUACGUGCCAGCAGCCGCGGUAAAACGUAGGUCACAAGCGUUGUCCGGAAUUACUGGGUGUAAAGGGAGCGCAGGCGGGAAGACAAGUUGGAAGUGAAAUCCAUGGGCUCAACCCAUGAACUGCUUUCAAAACUGUUUUUCUUGAGUAGUGCAGAGGUAGGCGGAAUUCCCGGUGUAGCGGUGGAAUGCGUAGAUAUCGGGAGGAACACCAGUGGCGAAGGCGGCCUACUGGGCACCAACUGACGCUGAGGCUCGAAAGUGUGGGUAGCAAACAGGAUUAGAUACCCUGGUAGUCCACACUGUAAACGAUGAUUACUAGGUGUUGGAGGAUUGACCCCUUCAGUGCCGCAGUUAACACAAUAAGUAAUCCACCUGGGGAGUACGACCGCAAGGUUGAAACUCAAAGGAAUUGACGGGGGCCCGCACAAGCAGUGGAGUAUGUGGUUUAAUUCGACGCAACGCGAAGAACCUUACCAAGUCUUGACAUCCUGCGACGGUUCUGGAAACAGAACUUUCCUUCGGGACGCAGAGACAGGUGGUGCAUGGUUGUCGUCAGCUCGUGUCGUGAGAUGUUGGGUUAAGUCCCGCAACGAGCGCAACCCUUAUGGUCAGUUACUACGUAAGAGGACUCUGGCCAGACUGCCGUUGACAAAACGGAGGAAGGUGGGGAUGACGUCAAAUCAUCAUGCCCUUUAUGACUUGGGCUACACACGUACUACAAUGGCGUUAAACAAAGAGAAGCAAGACCGCGAGGUGGAGCAAAACUCAGAAACAACGUCCCAGUUCGGACUGCAGGCUGCAACUCGCCUGCACGAAGUCGGAAUUGCUAGUAAUCGCAGAUCAGCAUGCUGCGGUGAAUACGUUCCCGGGCCUUGUACUCACCGCCCGUCA